AGUGAACGCUGGCGGUAGGCCUAACACAUGCCAGUCGAACGGCAGCACAGUAAGAGCUUGCUCUUACGGGUGGCGAGUGGCGGACGGGUGAGGAAUACAUCGGAAUCUACUUUUUCGUGGGGGAUAACGUAGGGAAACUUACGCUAAUACCGCAUACGACCUACGGGUGAAAGCAGGGGAUCUUCGGACCUUGCGCGAUUGAAUGAGCCGAUGUCGGAUUAGCUAGUUGGCGGGGUAAAGGCCCACCAAGGCGACGAUCCGUAGCUGGUCUGAGAGGAUGAUCAGCCACACUGGAACUGAGACACGGUCCAGACUCCUACGGGAGGCGGCAGUGGGGAAUAUUGGACAAUGGGCGCAAGCCUGAUCCAGCCAUACCGCGUGGGUGAAGAAGGCCUUCGGGUUGUAAAGCCCUUUUGUUGGGAAAGAAAAGCAGCAGGUUAAUACCCCGCUGUUCUGACGGUACCCAAAGAAUAAGCACCGGCUAACUUCGUG
This 492-nucleotide ribosomal RNA is filed under the name uncultured bacterium. Its description in RNAcentral is "partial 16S ribosomal RNA". It matches the Rfam family "Bacterial small subunit ribosomal RNA", at positions 29 to 507 of the family's 1533-position model. The record is from RNAcentral.